RNAcentral lists this transfer RNA (65 nucleotides) under Dipodomys ordii (Ord's kangaroo rat). It matches the Rfam family "tRNA". Rfam says of the family: Transfer RNA (tRNA) molecules are approximately 80 nucleotides in length. Their secondary structure includes four short double-helical elements and three loops (D, anti-codon, and T loops). Lineage: Eukaryota; Metazoa; Chordata; Mammalia; Rodentia; Heteromyidae. The record is from Rfam by way of RNAcentral.
GGUGGCUCAGUGGUAGAGUGCUUGCCUUGCAUGCAUGAGGUCCUGGGUACUAUCUCUCAGCACCA